GUGCUGGGUGGCUCCUGGCCACAAGGCGGCGCAGUCUCCCUAGUUCUGGGCUAAGUAGAGGCCUCUGAUGCCCCCAUGGUGCCCAGGCUCAGACUAGCGGGGACUUCAGUCCUCUCCUGCAGGCAGCCCAGGUGCAGGGGUUUGAUGGACAACAGACCACUCCUCUCUGGGCAGCUCCCACAGUGGUCUGACCAGGUUUCACCAUCUCUUGAAGACUUCCUCAAACCUCAGCAGCUCCAGGAAGUCCCUUCUGAUUACUCCAGAGGGAGGAAAAGCACCUGGUUUGUCCCACUCGCCGUUACAUCCUGAAUGCCUAAUACCAUCCCUGGUGUAAGGAGGGGCUCAACUUUCUCCAUCCAGAAGAUGGCUCAGUGGUCCGAACUUACAUCUUUCAAGCUCACCAAAUCCAAGAAGAAUAGGAUUUUCCUCUCCAGCUCCAAUUUUGAAAUUCUGGUAAAGGAGUUUAGUGUCUUGUUUUGCUUUGGGCUGAAAUCCCCGGUGGAUCCCCCCUGCGCUUUGCACGAGCUGUCUGUCCUGUCACGGCUGCUGUGGGUGGGUCGUCGGUCUCGGAGUGUGAAGCUGGAGAGAAUCCUGGAACCCGUGUUAUGCCUUGAGCUGUCACUUCUGGUUUUCCUGCUGAGAAAAUCUUCCAAGCCGAGCAGUGUGAAUAAUAUUGGCUUUUUGUCUCAAAAAGGAGAAUGGCUCUAAGAUUGGUUUUUCUAUUUGUGUUUCUUUGUUUUGGUAGAAAGCAGAGAUGGCAAUUUUGUAAAAUGGAGUCUUGCUAGGACGGUCCCAGGAAUGGGGCCUUUUGAAAACAUAUUGUUCAGUUGCUUAGUGCGCGACUCUUUGCCACCCCCACGAACUGCAGCAUGCCAGGCUUUCCUGCCCUUCAC
This is a long non-coding RNA of Bos taurus (domestic cattle), 893 nucleotides long. The record is from Ensembl. NCBI's taxonomy places the organism in Eukaryota, Metazoa, Chordata, Mammalia, Artiodactyla, Bovidae.